Molecule: unclassified non-coding RNA, 26 nt
Filed under: Dictyostelium discoideum
Lineage: Eukaryota; Evosea; Eumycetozoa; Dictyosteliales; Dictyosteliaceae
Source: RNAcentral
GGGGGGUUCAAUAAAUGUCCUGUCUU